This 358-nucleotide long non-coding RNA is filed under the name Ornithorhynchus anatinus (platypus). RNAcentral's name for it is "lncRNA (ENSOANG00000034262.2)". The record is from RNAcentral. Lineage: Eukaryota; Metazoa; Chordata; Mammalia; Monotremata; Ornithorhynchidae.
GUUAAAACCUGAGCUUUGAGAUUUCCACUUCUACUCAUUUUCCAAUGAGCCACAUUGCCUCCAGGUGCCCAGUGAUCUGAAGGGGUCCUACAUAACCUCCAGAGAAAGGAACUUGAAGCACUUCACAAUUUGCCAUUCCUAGAGGAGGGGAGAAGAAGACCUGGAUUGGCCCCAAUUUUACCAAAGGAAGGACCGGGGGUCUUUCGAGUCGGGGACGGGGGAGAGAGGAAGGAAAAGAUCUAAGAAUGAAGAGCCCGCAGCAAAACCAGUAAAACUGGGCACAGAUACCGUCUGAGAGCAAGGAUCAAAGACACCGGCCACAAGACGGGUGUGCUGACAUGAGACUUCGGGGGUGGGC